This 433-nucleotide ribosomal RNA is filed under the name uncultured bacterium. RNAcentral describes it as "partial 16S ribosomal RNA". It matches the Rfam family "Bacterial small subunit ribosomal RNA", at positions 29 to 507 of the family's 1533-position model. The record is from RNAcentral.
AACGAACGCUGGCGGCAGGCUUAACACAUGCAAGUCGAGCGAGACCUUCGGGUCUAGCGGCGGACGGGUGAGUAACGCGUGGGAACGUGCCCUUCUCUACGGAAUAGCCCCGGGAAACUGGGAGUAAUACCGUAUACGCCCUUUGGGGGAAAGAUUUAUCGGAGAAGGAUCGGCCCGCGUUGGAUUAGGUAGUUGGUGGGGUAAUGGCCCACCAAGCCGACGAUCCAUAGCUGGUUUGAGAGGAUGAUCAGCCACACUGGGACUGAGACACGGCCCAGACUCCUACGGGAGGCAGCAGUGGGGAAUCUUAGACAAUGGGGGCAACCCUGAUCUAGCCAUGCCGCGUGAGUGAUGAAGGCCUUAGGGUUGUAAAGCUCUUUCAGUUGGGAAGAUAAUGACGGUACCAGCAGAAGAAGCCCCGGCUAACUCCGUG